GCCAGAGAGCCUUCCAGCAGAAAUCAGCACCCUCCAGACCUCCUCAGAAAGUCUUCCUAAAGAAGCAAGACCUGAUGCUGCUUCCCUCAUGAAAAACUCAGGAAGCAUCUGAGUGGAAGAAUGAAGGGAACAGGAAGCCAAGUGUGUCCUAUGAAGACCUGGUUUUGAGGACGCCUACCACAGCAUGGCUUGCCAAGCGGUGUCAUGUCCGCACCCGGGAUCCAAACCAGAGAACCCCAGGCCACCGAGAAGUGGAUCAUGAGAACUUAACCGCUACGCCACCAGGCCGGCCCCGGAUCUGGGACUUUUUAAGACAUGGAAAAAUGUUUUUGUUAUAAUGUUGACUAAAAUAAGAAUAUGAUUUCAAUGACAAAAAAAAAGGAAAUAAACUGAAAAAUGUCAUUAUUUUCCCCAUGUAUACAGCAGAAAUUAUUUGAUCUCUAGACAUUAUGCAAUCAUGGUAGUUGGUGGUUAGGGUGAGAAUAAAUGCUUAUAUCUAUAUGUGUAUCGAAG
Molecule: long non-coding RNA, 513 nt
Filed under: Equus caballus (horse)
Lineage: Eukaryota; Metazoa; Chordata; Mammalia; Perissodactyla; Equidae
Description: lncRNA (ENSECAG00000056124.1)
Source: RNAcentral